GAUCAUGGCUCAGGACGAACGCUGGCGGCGCGCCUAACACAUGCAAGUCGAACGGAGUUUACAGACGGAAGUUUUCGGAUGGAAGCUUGUAAACUUAGUGGCGGACGGGUGAGUAACACGUGAGCAACCUGCCUAUCAGAGGGGGAUAACGAUUGGAAACGAUCGCUAAUACCGCAUGACAUAGCGGAAUCGCAUGGUUCUGUUAUCAAAGAUUUUAUCGCUGAUAGAUGGGCCCGCG
Molecule: ribosomal RNA, 238 nt
Filed under: uncultured bacterium
Lineage: Bacteria
Description: partial 16S ribosomal RNA
Rfam family: Bacterial small subunit ribosomal RNA
Source: RNAcentral